ACCGUUGCACCCCACUCCGCCGGGCAAGCCUCAACCCCGCCGCUACCUUCCUCCCGCACACUGAUCUGGCCCCUGGAAACCAAUUCCCUCCCCCCGCUCCGUUGCCUCGACGACAGAUCUGAGCGAAGCUGGCCCCGCCGCGCCAUAAGAAGAAGGGAUCGGGCAGCAGCCGCCGUUGACCCCCGCAUGCUCCCUCGCCGAUGGCCCUGAUCCGUUCAUUCACGGUGCCUCGCGACCCUCAGGUCGCCGGGAUCGAGGAGGCUGCCCCGCAUCGGCGCCUCUCCGCGCAUCUUCGGCCGUCCAACCUCGCGCCCCGACGGCCUCCUACAAGCACGGCUCGGGCCUCCUGCUCGCAAGUGCCUCCAGUGGCCGUGGACGCCGGCCACCGUCGGAGCCCCCGCGCCUGUAGCCACGUGAUCCAGCCGGAUCCCCUCAUCCUCGUCCUCGGAUUGUGCGGCGACCUCCACUUCACCGGCACUCGACGACAGGGCAGUGCGGGCGGCAACGCCAUGUAGUUCGCCAUGCGCCCACGGUGGCGACACUGUGUAGUUGGCCACGCUGCCAUUUGCAGCUCGCUGGAGGGACAGAGGAGGUGCAGCGUGCGGAUUUGUAGUUCAGUGGGUGGGAGUUUCGUGCAUUUCUGAAGUAGGAGAGGGAGUCAACUGCAUAGCUGCUCUUGUGAGGUAGUGGAAUUGGUCUUACAAUUUACUUUGAGGAAAAAGGCGAAGUACAGUGCCACCGAAGAGGAUAGGGAACAUGUGGUGCAUAGAAGACUUUUAAGUAUUCUAAUGCUUUUUUUUUUUGACGGUAAGUAUUCUAAUGCUUAUGCACCGCUUUGUUGUUUAGAGCAAAAUUGGCCGUCAAUAUGGAUAAGGUUAUUGGGCAAAUAAAUAGGGACUGUCUACUUUACAGCCGGAUGAAAACCAAUUGGAGUUCAGUCGUUUUUUUCAACCAACUACAACUUGACAAGAGUUCCUGUCCACUAACAGUGUCAAGUCUCUUCCUUAUAACAACGUCAUGAGGCCCAAAUACAAAAGCGUAAGGAAGACUACAGUAAAAGCGAACACCUGAACUAAACUAGGAAGUGCAGCCACUGACACUAUUCUCACAUGUAAAAAAAUGAAGUUACUGAAACGACCAGUCUAAUUUACACUAUGGAAUAAUCACAUGUCAGGUGCCCUCCCUAAAUCACCUCUGUCCCUGAUGCUUCUGUCAAGUACAUCAAUCCAACUGCAGCAUUCCCUCAUAUCAACAUGAUGUUUAUGAAUCCUUAAUUUUCUGUUACAAGUUACAAAAAAAGGAGAACAUAAAAUAGUUCAGAGACUGCAGCCGGUAGAUAAUGGAAGCACUUCUAACAGCUAGUAGACACUAGAAGCACAUCUAGAUCAUAAUUUCAUCGAACUUUACAGAGAAAAUGAGUUUUGUAUACCAUAUCUAGCCAUGUGCAUAUGACUACCAGAUCUUGUAACUCAUGCAAAAGACUAUAGUGAAAAACAACUACCCUCAUUUAUGAAGGUAGAAAGAGAAGACAUGAAAUGCUUCUCCAAA
Molecule: long non-coding RNA, 1548 nt
Organism: Triticum aestivum (bread wheat)
Lineage: Eukaryota; Viridiplantae; Streptophyta; Magnoliopsida; Poales; Poaceae
Exons: 2
Source: RefSeq, a predicted model, not a curated record